This 407-nucleotide ribosomal RNA is filed under the name uncultured bacterium. RNAcentral describes it as "partial 16S ribosomal RNA". It matches the Rfam family "Bacterial small subunit ribosomal RNA", at positions 28 to 526 of the family's 1533-position model. The record is from RNAcentral.
GACGAACGCUGGCGGCGUGCCUAAUACAUGCAAGUAGGACGCAGAUGCGAACGGGUGAGUAACGCGUAGGUAACUACCUAUUAGAGGGGGAUAACUAUUGGAAACGAUAGCUAAUACCGCAUACUAGUAGAUGGACCGGCGUUGUAUUAGGUAGUAGGUAGGGUAAUGGCCUACCUAGGCAACGCAACAUAGCCGACCUGGGAGGGUGAGCGGCCACACUUGGGCUUAGACACGGCCCAGGCUCCUACGGGAGGCAACAGGAGGGAAUCUUCGGGAAUGGGUGGAAACCUGGCCGGGCAACGCCGCGUGAGUGAAAAAGGUUUUCGGAUCGUAAAGCUCUGUUUUUAAGAAAGCGGUACUUAACCAGAAAGGGACGGCUAACUACGUGCCAGCCGCCGCGGUAAUAC